RNAcentral lists this ribosomal RNA (436 nucleotides) under Photobacterium sp. AmSamHD70. RNAcentral's name for it is "bacterial SSU rRNA". It matches the Rfam family "Bacterial small subunit ribosomal RNA", at positions 80 to 512 of the family's 1533-position model. The record is from RNAcentral. Lineage: Bacteria; Pseudomonadati; Pseudomonadota; Gammaproteobacteria; Vibrionales; Vibrionaceae.
CGUUAAGGGCGGCGAGCGGCGGACGGGUGAGUAAUGCCUGGGAAUAUGCCCUGAUGUGGGGGAUAACUAUUGGAAACGAUAGCUAAUACCGCAUAAUCUCUUCGGAGCAAAGAGGGGGACCUUCGGGCCUCUCGCGUCAGGAUUAGCCCAGGUGGGAUUAGCUUGUUGGUGAGGUAAUGGCUCACCAAGGCAACGAUCCCUAGCUGGUCUGAGAGGAUGAUCAGCCACACUGGAACUGAGACACGGUCCAGACUCCUACGGGAGGCAGCAGUGGGGAAUAUUGCACAAUGGGGGAAACCCUGAUGCAGCCAUGCCGCGUGUGUGAAGAAGGCCUUCGGGUUGUAAAGCACUUUCAGUAGGGAGGAAGGUAGUGUAGUUAACACCUGCACUAUUUGACGUUACCUACAGAAGAAGCACCGGCUAACUCCGUGCCAGC